GAUGAACGCUGGCGGCGUGCCUAAUACAUGCAAGUCGAGCGAACAGACGAGGAGCUUGCUCCUCUGACGUUAGCGGCGGACGGGUGAGUAACACGUGGAUAACCUACCUAUAAGACUGGGAUAACUUCGGGAAACCGGAGCUAAUACCGGAUAAUAUAUUGAACCGCAUGGUUCAAUAGUGAAAGACGGUUUUGCUGUCACUUAUAGAUGGAUCCGCGCGGCAUUAGCUAGUUGGUAGGGUAACGGCUUACCAAGGCAACGAUGCGUAGCCGACCUGAGAGCGGGAUCGGCCACACUGGAACUGAGACACGGUCCAGACUCCGACGGGAGGCAGCAGUAGGGAAUCUUCCGAAAUGGGCGAAAGCCUGACGGAGCAACGCCGCGUGAGUGAUGAAGGUCUUCGGAUCGUAAAACUCUGUUAUUAGGGAAGAACAAAUGUGUAAGUAACUAUGCACGUCUUGACGGUACCUAAUCAGAAAGCCACGGCUAACUACGU
Molecule: ribosomal RNA, 496 nt
Filed under: uncultured bacterium
Lineage: Bacteria
Description: partial 16S ribosomal RNA
Rfam family: Bacterial small subunit ribosomal RNA
Source: RNAcentral